GAGUUUGAUCUUGGCUCAGAUUGAACGCUGGCGGCAGGCCUAACACAUGCAAGUCGAGCGGAUGACGGGAGCUUGCUCCUUGAUUCAGCGGCGGACGGGUGAGUAAUGCCUAGGAAUCUGCCUGGUAGUGGGGGACAACGUUUCGAAAGGAACGCUAAUACCGCAUACGUCCUACGGGAGAAAGCAGGGGACCUUCGGGCCUUGCGCUAUCAGAUGAGCCUAGGUCGGAUUAGCUAGUUGGUGGGGUAAUGGCUCACCAAAGGCGACGAUCCGUAACUGGUCUGAGAGGAUGAUCAGUCACACUGGAACUGAGACACGGUCCAGACUCCUACGGGAGGCAGCAGCGGGGAAUAUUGGACAAUGGGCGAAAAGCCUGAUCCAGCCAUGCCGCGUGUGUGAAGAAAGGUCUUCGGAUUGUAAAAGCACUUUAAGUUGGGAGGAAGGGCAGUAAGUUAAUACCUUGCUGUUUUUGACGUUACCGACAGAAUAAAGCAACCGGCUAAACUCUGUGCCAGCAGCC
RNAcentral lists this ribosomal RNA (520 nucleotides) under bacterium enrichment culture clone ALO1_GLFRUDD03HKNAN. RNAcentral describes it as "bacterial SSU rRNA". It matches the Rfam family "Bacterial small subunit ribosomal RNA", at positions 9 to 516 of the family's 1533-position model. The record is from RNAcentral.